AGUGAACGCUGGCGGUAGGCCUAACACAUGCAAGUCGAACGGCAGCACAGUAAGAGCUUGCUCUUACGGGUGGCGAGUGGCGGACGGGUGAGGAAUACAUCGUAAUCUACUUUUUCGUGGGGGAUAACGUAGGGAAACUUACUCUAAUACCGCAUACGACCUACGGGUGAAAGCAGGGGAUCUUCUGACCUUGCGCGAUUGAAUGAGCCGAUGUCGGAUUAGCUAGUUGGCGGGGUAAAGGCCCACCAAGGCGACGAUCCGUAGCUGGUCUGAGAGGAUGAUAGGCCACACUGGAAGUGAGACACGGUCCAGACGACUGCGGGAGGCAGCAGUGGGGAAUAUUGGACAAUGGGGGCGAGCAUGAUACAGCCAUACCGCGUGGGUGAAGAAGACGUUGGGGUUGUAAAGCCCUUUUGUUGGGAAAGAAAAGCAGCAGGUUAAUACCACGCUGUUCUGACGGUACCCAAAGAAUAAGCACCGGCUAACUUCGUG
RNAcentral lists this ribosomal RNA (492 nucleotides) under uncultured bacterium. Its description in RNAcentral is "partial 16S ribosomal RNA". It matches the Rfam family "Bacterial small subunit ribosomal RNA", at positions 29 to 507 of the family's 1533-position model. The record is from RNAcentral.